GUAGGGUGGGCAAGCGUUGUCCGGAAUUAUUGGGCGUAAAGCGCGCGCAGGCGGUCCUUUAAGUCUGAUGUGAAAGCCCACGGCUCAACCGUGGAGGGUCAUUGGAAACUGGGGGACUUGAGUACAGAAGAGGAAAGCGGAAUUCCAAGUGUAGCGGUGAAAUGCGUAGAGAUUUGGAGGAACACCAGUGGCGAGGGCGGCUUUCUGGUCUGUAACUGACGCUGAGGCGCGAAAGCGUGGGGAGCAAACAGGAUUAGAUACCCUGGUAGUCCACGCCGUAAACGAUGAGUGCUAAGUGUUAGGGGGUUUCCGCCCCUUAGUGCUGCAGCUAACGCAUUAAGCACUCCGCCUGGGGAGUACGGCCGCAAGGCUG
This 373-nucleotide ribosomal RNA is filed under the name uncultured organism. RNAcentral describes it as "partial 16S ribosomal RNA". It matches the Rfam family "Bacterial small subunit ribosomal RNA", at positions 525 to 896 of the family's 1533-position model. The record is from RNAcentral.